This is a long non-coding RNA of Panicum virgatum (switchgrass), 575 nucleotides long. RefSeq lists it as uncharacterized. The record is from RefSeq and is a predicted model, not a curated record. NCBI's taxonomy places the organism in Eukaryota, Viridiplantae, Streptophyta, Magnoliopsida, Poales, Poaceae. The transcript is spliced from 2 exons.
UUGCUGCUAACUUGCGCUGUUCGUGCUUUUCCAUUUGGGCCGAAACGAAUCAGCAGAAUUCAAAAACCCGCCCGAACAAGCGGGCUGGGCCAGCCCGCGCUUUCGUCCCUCUACUUCCCCGACGAGCGCGGGGCCGCCGCCGGCGGGGACCCUCGACGACUCGGGGGUCGGUGCUCAGGCUCAACCAGGCAUCCUGCAGCGCAGGAUUGGGCCCGAUUGGCGCAACUCAGGGGAUCCACGGUGCAGAGGCACCGUUCUGUUGAUUUGCUGCCUUGGACCCGGCACGCACAGGAAGGAGGGUCCAUGGAUGGGCUAUAGACCUCAGACCUGCAGUCUUUGCCCUGGAGCAGGCGGCGGCUCCCUUUCACGCGCUGCGCCGCUGCAUCACUUGGCGUGGCGACGUGGGCUUCAGUCUUGAGGUACUUAGGCUCUUGACGUUUCUCUCGUUCUUGUAAUAAACUGAUGGAAGGUUCCUCUUCCUCUGUUCCGCGUUGAACCCGGUUGCUGUUGGGUAGGAGUUGGAUCGCUUCUGCCUGUCAUAGUCCAUUUUUUCCCCUUAAGGGCCGGUGACAUUA